This 397-nucleotide long non-coding RNA is filed under the name Oryza sativa tropical japonica subgroup. RNAcentral describes it as "lncRNA OsCMeo_06g0014430". The record is from RNAcentral. Lineage: Eukaryota; Viridiplantae; Streptophyta; Magnoliopsida; Poales; Poaceae.
GUUUUAUUUGCUAUCUUUUACGUAUACACAAUACAGAAGAUCUCAUCGACAUCACAGGAGCUGGCGUGGAUCCAGCCGACUACGCUGAAGCCUUCGAAAGAUUGGGGUGAACGCAUGUGUAAGGAGGUUGGGGGCAUGGUUAACAACGGUGGAACCCGUGAAAGCAGCAACCAAGUAGCCUUGCUUAGGCCCAGCAAGUGCCCGACUGCUAGGACGGAUCAAUAUCCCACUCGUGCAGUAACUAGUAGUAAGUGGGACCUUCGAACGGCUCUGGUGUCCUCAGCCUUGCAAACUGUUGACAUCGUGUGGGUAAAGCUGGACAGUCUCUGCAGAGGUGAAUUAAAUCAUUUGAAUGUCCGUACUCCCGAUUCUGGAGUUGUGUCAUAAGGGUGAUUCC